Molecule: small nucleolar RNA, 93 nt
Organism: Humulus lupulus (European hop)
Lineage: Eukaryota; Viridiplantae; Streptophyta; Magnoliopsida; Rosales; Cannabaceae
Product: small nucleolar RNA SNORD96 family
Exons: 1
Source: RefSeq, a predicted model, not a curated record
GUACCAAUGAGGAUAUCAUUUACCAAUUAACACCAUCUUUCGGGACUGAAAUGGCUAUAAGCCUUGAUGUUAUAUUCUGCAAUUCUGAGGUAC